GCCGAAGUGGCGGAAUUGGCAGACGCGCCAGAUUCAGGUUCUGGUGGUGGAAACGCUGUGGGGGUUCGAGUCCCCCCUUCGGCACCA
This 87-nucleotide transfer RNA is filed under the name Nitrospirota bacterium. Its description in RNAcentral is "tRNA-Leu". It matches the Rfam family "tRNA". From Rfam's summary of the family: Transfer RNA (tRNA) molecules are approximately 80 nucleotides in length. Their secondary structure includes four short double-helical elements and three loops (D, anti-codon, and T loops). Further hydrogen bonds mediate the characteristic L-shaped molecular structure. tRNAs have two regions of fundamental functional importance: the anti-codon, which is responsible for specific mRNA codon recognition, and the 3' end, to which the tRNAs corresponding amino acid is attached (by aminoacyl-tRNA synthetases). tRNAs cope with the degeneracy of the genetic code in two manners: having more than one tRNA (with a specific anti-codon) for a particular amino acid; and 'wobble' base-pairing, i.e. permitting non-standard base-pairing at the 3rd anti-codon position. Lineage: Bacteria; Pseudomonadati; Nitrospirota. The record is from RNAcentral.